GUUGGGAGUUGGCUGGCAGCCAUCUUGGGGAGCUGUACUGACAGGAGGUGCUGUGAAACAAGGCCGGUGCUGCUGCUGUGAUUCCUAACCAGGGAGGCAGGGCAGAGCCGCGGCUCCCUGAAGUAGGGUAGAGCCGGAGGGGCAGCAAUGGGAAGUAAGGACUUGAGUUACAGGUCAGCCCCAACCCAGCCUCUCUGCUGUCAAGGUGCCUGAGCGACAGCCACAGUAUCUGAGUGAGUGCCAGCCGGUGGGAGGAGACAGAGACAUUGUUUUGCUAUAGCUGUGGACUGAGGGAUGAUCGGUCGGCUCACAGUGGCUAAUUACAGGACAAAAAGAGAGCUUGUACCACACCACAUACAGCAGAGCCCUAAUUACAGUACCCACAUCUAUUGGAUCAUUGGAGGAAAGAUUCCCAGCCUGACUAUUGGACACCGGGAAUGGGACUUGUCACAGCACGGAUAGCAUGGGCAGAGCUGGGAAAGCUAAGCAGCAGCCCCUGGAUGUAUAGUAUACUGGGGUACAGCACAAAAUAUAUUUUUUAAUACUAGUCCAAAGCCCGUGGAUGGAUGGACAGAAUACCCCUAGAUGGACGGAGCAGCAGCAGCCCUUGGUUGUAUAUACUGGGAGGACGGACACAGCACAAAAUAUAAAAAAAAGAAUGUAUUUUUUUUUUAAAUUACGCAUUAGGCAAGGCUCAAGAUUUCAGUUCACAAAAGAUGAA
Molecule: long non-coding RNA, 721 nt
Organism: Pseudophryne corroboree (corroboree frog)
Lineage: Eukaryota; Metazoa; Chordata; Amphibia; Anura; Myobatrachidae
Exons: 3
Source: RefSeq, a predicted model, not a curated record